This 300-nucleotide signal recognition particle RNA is filed under the name Saimiri boliviensis boliviensis (Bolivian squirrel monkey). Its description in RNAcentral is "Metazoan signal recognition particle RNA (ENSSBOG00000004162.1)". It matches the Rfam family "Metazoan signal recognition particle RNA". Rfam says of the family: The signal recognition particle (SRP) is a universally conserved ribonucleoprotein. It is involved in the co-translational targeting of proteins to membranes. Lineage: Eukaryota; Metazoa; Chordata; Mammalia; Primates; Cebidae. The record is from Rfam by way of RNAcentral.
GCUGGGCAUGGUGGUGCGUGCCUGUAGUCCCAGCUACUCGGGAGGCUGAGGCUGGAGGAUCUCUUGAGUCCAGGAGUUCUGGGCUGUAGUGCUCUAUGCUGAUUGGGUGUCCGCACUAAGUUCAGCAUCAAUAUGGUGACCUCCAGGGAGUGGGGGACCACCAGGUUGCCUAAGGAGGGGUGAACUGGCCCAGGUGGGAAACGGAGCAAGUCAAAACUCCCAUGCUGAUCAGUAAUGGGAUUGCGCCUGUGACUAGCCACUGCACUCCAGCCUGGGCAACAUAUCGAGACCCCAUCUCCU